GGGCUUUCUCCUGCACACACAAGGAUCCAGGAGAACAAAGCAGAGGUGGACUCCAAGGAGUGGCUUGGGAGGAAGUAUCUGAGGUGGUGGCAUCACACGGUGAUACUCGUCCGGUGCCAGCGUGACGGGAGGCUGCUGUGUCUGGCAAGGGCAUGGCAUCAAUGGCAGGAAGCCAGCAGGGUGCUGGUCCUGGCUCAGGUGUUGGACCAGCAGUGGCUGGUACAAAAGGCCUGGAGGGUGUGGAGACAACGACAUCUGCAAAACUGUGUGGUGCAGAAGUUUUUGGAG
Molecule: long non-coding RNA, 288 nt
Organism: Colius striatus (speckled mousebird)
Lineage: Eukaryota; Metazoa; Chordata; Aves; Coliiformes; Coliidae
Exons: 3
Source: RefSeq, a predicted model, not a curated record